This is a long non-coding RNA of Bactrocera neohumeralis, 824 nucleotides long. RefSeq lists it as uncharacterized. The record is from RefSeq and is a predicted model, not a curated record. Lineage: Eukaryota; Metazoa; Arthropoda; Insecta; Diptera; Tephritidae. The transcript has 2 exons.
UUGGCUUUUAUAUUUCAGGAUCUGGCAACUAUAGCGUUGCAACCUAAAAACUCAGAAUUUUAUCGUUUGACAUUUUGAUAUUGUACAUACUCAGAACGUUUUGACAUCCAAGCUAUUUUUGUGUUCUUUACAGUGACUUAAAAAAUUCAUCUCGGCCAAAGAAUAUAAUUGAGUCCCGAACAAUAUCGCGAGAUUAUUUUUCACAACUUCCGGUGUGGUCUAACUCAGCAACAGGUAUAGUGAAUUAAAGCAAGAUCGUAGAUUACUCCAAGAAGAAUUUUGUGUAGGUCGUCUAAAAUCAGUUGCCGUUUCGGAAACUAUUGACGCUGUGCAAAAACUGAUAUUGCAAUAUUGUGAUGUGAUCUAUCGUGAGAUUGAGAAAAAAUGUUUUCAUGUGGGAUCCCACACAAUUUGUUGCGGUAGUGGUGAUUCGAAACACGUCUAGAACAUUGUGUCAGGUGAUAAGUCGUGGAUUUAUGCGCAUGAGAGUAAUAGCCCUGACAGACGACAGCGCUAAUAUGCAUUAGCGGACUUAAUUUACAUUUACUUGUGCAUUUGAACCAUGUUAAUGCACAAGAAUUUCGUGCAUUUAGCUGAAUUUACCAAAUUUGAGUAAGCAACACUGCUCAAAAAUGGCCGAUUUUUGCUAUUUUUUGACAGAUGUCGCUUUUAGUCUGCUGCCUCUUUUGCGUUUACAGCAUCAGAGGUAAUCAGUUUUAUAUUGCUAAUUAAAUUAUGUACAAGUAUAUUAACAAAAACAAAUUUUAAUAUUUUUAAAUGGCAGAAAAUAAACAACGCACAGUUUGCUAUCCAUUUUUCCAAUA